RNAcentral lists this ribosomal RNA (406 nucleotides) under uncultured bacterium. Its description in RNAcentral is "bacterial SSU rRNA". It matches the Rfam family "Bacterial small subunit ribosomal RNA", at positions 976 to 1381 of the family's 1533-position model. The record is from RNAcentral.
AUCCCUUGACAUCCUGCGAACUUUCUAGAGAUAGCUUUGUGCCUUCGGGAGCUCUGAGACAGGUGCUGCAUGGCUGUCGUCAGCUCGUGUUGUGAAAUGUUGGGUUAAGUCCCGUAACGAGCGCAACCCUUGUCCUUAUUUGCCAGCACGUAAUGGUGGGAACUCUAAGGAGACUGCCGGUGACAAACCGGAGGAAGGUGGGGACGACGUCAAGUCAUCAUGGCCCUUACGAGUUGGGCUACACACGUGCUACAAUGGCCGGUACAGAGGGCUGCAAACCUGCGAAGGUAAGCUAAUCUCACAAAACCGGUCGUAGUCCGGAUUGGAGUCUGCAACUCGACUCCAUGAAGUCGGAAUCGCUAGUAAUCGUGGAUCAGAAUGCCACGGUGAAUACGUUCCCGGGCCU